Molecule: long non-coding RNA, 287 nt
Organism: Melitaea cinxia (Glanville fritillary)
Lineage: Eukaryota; Metazoa; Arthropoda; Insecta; Lepidoptera; Nymphalidae
Exons: 3
Source: RefSeq, a predicted model, not a curated record
GUUUUUCUUUUAGGAGGAAAUAAAGAAAAUUCACGUGAUUUAUUUGAUUCAACGUUGUUCAAUGAGGAACAAAUAUCUGUUUCAAGUCCUGAUUUUUCUGACACAGAUUCCAAUUAUACACCGCCUAUACAAGAUACUUCAUCUGAUGAAUCUUACUUAUACGAUGACAAGAUCUUGGAUCGAGCUUGCUCAUUUCGCAAUGUACCUCAUUCAUCUGAAGAGUUUCAUCAGACGAACUACUCAUUAUUACAACUUAAGCCCUUAUCUGACAAAAAUAUUGAGCAGCC